RNAcentral lists this ribosomal RNA (429 nucleotides) under Acidobacteriota bacterium. Its description in RNAcentral is "Acidobacteria bacterium partial 16S ribosomal RNA". It matches the Rfam family "Bacterial small subunit ribosomal RNA", at positions 355 to 776 of the family's 1533-position model. Lineage: Bacteria; Pseudomonadati; Acidobacteriota. The record is from RNAcentral.
UGGGGAAUUUUGGACAAUGGGGGAAACCCUGAUCCAGCCAUCCCGCGUGUGCGAUGAAGGCCUUCGGGUUGUAAAGCACUUUUGGCAGGAAAGAAACGUCAUGGGUUAAUACCCCGUGAAACUGACGGUACCUGCAGAAUAAGCACCGGCUAACUACGUGCCAGCAGCCGCGGUAAUACGUAGGGUGCAAGCGUUAAUCGGAAUUACUGGGCGUAAAGCGUGCGCAGGCGGUUCGGAAAGAAAGAUGUGAAAUCCCAGAGCUCAACUUUGGAACUGCAUUUUUAACUACCGGGCUGGAGUGUGUCAGAGGGAGGGGGAAUUCCGCGUGUAGCAGUGAAAUGCGUAGAUAUGCGGAGGAACACCGAUGGCGAAGGCGGCCUCCUGGGAUAACACUGACGCUCAUGCACGAAAGCGUGGGGAGCAAACAGG